This is a long non-coding RNA of Melanotaenia boesemani (Boeseman's rainbowfish), 562 nucleotides long. RefSeq lists it as uncharacterized. NCBI's taxonomy places the organism in Eukaryota, Metazoa, Chordata, Actinopteri, Atheriniformes, Melanotaeniidae. The record is from RefSeq and is a predicted model, not a curated record. The transcript is spliced from 3 exons.
AUUAACAGGAAAUCCUUCCACAGCAUCAAUGUUCAGAUCUGUGAUGCUGACUGCCUUGUGAGCAAUUUAGAGGCAAAGUGGCCUGGCUCAGUGCAUGACUCUAGAGUCCUUCGGCUAGUCCAAUUUAUGAGAGACUUUCACAAGGUGAAUUCUCGGGUGUGCUGCUGGGAGAUAAAGGAUACGCCUGUGAGUCAUUCCUCUUGACUCCCCUUGCAGAUCCCCAAACCCCACCACAGCAGGCCUACAACCAUGCACACACCAAGACAAGGGCUCGAAUCGAGAUGACCUUCGGCCUUCUGAAAUCUCGGUUUCAGUGCCUGCACCACCUGAGGAUUUCCCUGGACAGGGCCUGUGAUGUUAUUGCUGCAUGCGUAGUACUGCAUAACAUUGCAGGCCUAAGAAAGGAGAACCCCCCCCCCGAGUGGCUGUUGAUGUUGACUGGAAAAUGCUCCCAUCUUCCCGGACAACAUUAAUGGCAGACUUGUCAGGGAGCAAUAUAUUGCAAGUUUCUUCACUUAAUUUUUGGAUUUAGCCCCUUUAUUUAAUAAAAGAGCUUUUCCUG